Non-coding RNA from Bemisia tabaci, 671 nucleotides. The record is from RefSeq and is a predicted model, not a curated record. Lineage: Eukaryota; Metazoa; Arthropoda; Insecta; Hemiptera; Aleyrodidae.
CAUUUCUUGGAAUGUUUAAUUUAACACUUGAGUAGAAAAAUAGAAUAACUUUAGCACAGGCCCUGAACUUCUUGGUUUAAAAAUAAAUUGAAAAAAUAAAAAUUAAAUGCAGUUUUUGAAUGAAGUAGUUGUCAUCCAAACAGUGAGGCAUUUUGUCUCAGAAGAAGAUAAAUAAUCUAAAAAAAAUCAAAAAGAAUAUUUUCAGAAGAUAGGUGCAAAACCCGAGAAGACAAGGAAAAUCCAAUAUGCCCUGUACUGUUGGAAAUUGACUCAGUGAAUUCAGUACUAAUUUCAGCUCCUUUGUAACUUAACCAGAUAUUAAAGUCACCAUAACUGCGUCAGUUAGGCUGGUCAUUUAGGCGUCAUAAAGUCGUCGUAAAGUUGUCUGAAGUCGGCACUUGCACCCUUUGGAAGAGCAAUAAAUGUAUCAUUCGCAUCUUCAGAGAAGUGGUAGGAGUGAGGGUGAGUUCAAGGCCAAUGGGCGAUAUGAAAGAGAGCAUUGUCUAGUGAUGCAUACUUGAGCGGAGACGGAUUAUGUCACUCUCCAGCAGGAGAAAGGGAGGAAGUGUGAUCUUGAUUAACCCUUUGUUGCACGGAAAUUUUUUUUUCAUUUUUUUUAAAAAAAAAUGUUAUGGUUAAAUUUCAAUGAUAAAGAUAAGCACAAAAAACGC